ACCAUCCGCGCGGCGCCACGCAGGGCCUAAUGUCUGGCUUCGCUUCCACUCUUCGGGCCCACACCCGCUUUUUCCGCGGACUCCCCCGGGGGCCACCUCAUCGUGCCUGGAAAUCCAUCAAAGAAGUAGAAGAGACGAAUAAGUGAUUAACAGAUGACCACAUCUCUUCCCUAUCUUUCCCUUCAGUAAUCUCCCAAAUAAACUCUGUGAUCAAACUGUGUGAACACGAUCACAUGUAGAGGAAGAUCACAAGAAGUUGAGGAGCCUGCACACAGUGGGGAAUGGCGACGCCUCAGACCCCCAUCUCAAUGAUUAACUGAGAUUACAUCCCUCCUUCCCUUUAAAAGUUUCAUAAGCAGAAUCUUCGGAGGUGGUUUUUGGGGGUACAUUGAGUCCACCAUCUCCCCAGAUUGCCGGCAUUCUGAUUAAAGGCACUUUUCCUUUUUA
Physeter macrocephalus (sperm whale) is the source of this 447-nucleotide long non-coding RNA. RefSeq lists it as uncharacterized. The record is from RefSeq and is a predicted model, not a curated record. Lineage: Eukaryota; Metazoa; Chordata; Mammalia; Artiodactyla; Physeteridae. The transcript is spliced from 2 exons.